Molecule: transfer RNA, 76 nt
Filed under: Methanobacteriota archaeon
Lineage: Archaea; Methanobacteriati; Methanobacteriota
Description: Euryarchaeota archaeon (freshwater metagenome) tRNA-Asp
Rfam family: tRNA
About the family: Transfer RNA (tRNA) molecules are approximately 80 nucleotides in length. Their secondary structure includes four short double-helical elements and three loops (D, anti-codon, and T loops).
Source: RNAcentral
GGCCCUGUAGAGCAGCGGAGUGCUCGCAACCCUGUCACGGUUGAGGUCGUGGGUUCGAAUCCCAUCAGGGUCGCCA